CGGCGGACGGGUGAGUAACGCGUGGGUAACCUGCCUUACACAGGGGGAUAACAGUUAGAAAUGACUGCUAAUACCGCAUAACCCGCUAGGGCCGCAUGGCCCGGACGGAAAAGAUUUUAUCGGUGUAAGAUGGACCCGCGUCUGAUUAGCUAGUUGGUGAGGUAACGGCCCACCAAGGCGACGAUCAGUAGCCGACCUGAGAGGGUGAUCGGCCACAUUGGGACUGAGACACGGCCCAAACUCCUACGGGAGGCAGCAG
Molecule: ribosomal RNA, 259 nt
Filed under: uncultured bacterium
Lineage: Bacteria
Description: partial 16S ribosomal RNA
Rfam family: Bacterial small subunit ribosomal RNA
Source: RNAcentral